This 400-nucleotide ribosomal RNA is filed under the name uncultured bacterium. Its description in RNAcentral is "bacterial SSU rRNA". It matches the Rfam family "Bacterial small subunit ribosomal RNA", at positions 355 to 772 of the family's 1533-position model. The record is from RNAcentral.
UUGGGAAUAUUGGACAAUGGGGGAAACCCUGAUCCAGCGAUGCCGCGUGAGUGAUGAAGGCCUUCGGGUUGUAAAGCUCUUUUGGUGGGGACGAUGAUGACGGUACCCACAGAAUAAGCUCCGGCUAACUUCGUGCCAGCAGCCGCGGUAAUACGAAGGGAGCAAGCGUUGUUCGGAUUUACUGGGCGUAAAGAGCGCGUAGGCGGUUUGGUAAGUUGGAUGUGAAAGCCCCGGGCUCAACCUGGGAACUGCAUUCAAAACUGCCAGACUCGAGUGUGGAAGAGGAUGGUGGAAUUCCCGGUGUAGAGGUGAAAUUCGUAGAUAUCGGGAGGAACACCUGUGGCGAAGGCGGCCAUCUGGUCCACAACUGACGCUGAGGCGCGAAAGCGUGGGGAGCAAA